GGGUCGUUAGCUCAGUUGCUAGAGCAGUUGACUUUUAAUCAAUUGGUCGCAGGUUCGAAUCCUGCACGACCCACCA
RNAcentral lists this transfer RNA (76 nucleotides) under Salmonella enterica. RNAcentral's name for it is "tRNA-Lys". It matches the Rfam family "tRNA". Rfam says of the family: Transfer RNA (tRNA) molecules are approximately 80 nucleotides in length. Their secondary structure includes four short double-helical elements and three loops (D, anti-codon, and T loops). The record is from RNAcentral. Lineage: Bacteria; Pseudomonadati; Pseudomonadota; Gammaproteobacteria; Enterobacterales; Enterobacteriaceae.